Molecule: ribosomal RNA, 254 nt
Filed under: uncultured bacterium
Lineage: Bacteria
Description: partial 16S ribosomal RNA
Rfam family: Bacterial small subunit ribosomal RNA
Source: RNAcentral
CACGUAGGCACCAAGCGUUGUCCGGAUUUAUUGGGCGUAAAGAGCUCGUAGGCGGUUCAGUAAGUCAGAUGUGAAAUCUUUGGGCUUAACCCAAAGCGUGCAUUUGAUACUGCUGUGACUUGAGUUCGGUAGGGGAGUGGGGAAUUCCUAGUGUAGCGGUGAAAUGCGCAGAUAUUAGGAGGAACACCAACGGCGAAGGCACUCUGCUGGGCCGACACUGACACUGAGAGACGAAAGCUAGGGGAGCAAAUGGG